Equus caballus (horse) is the source of this 16964-nucleotide long non-coding RNA. The record is from Ensembl. NCBI's taxonomy places the organism in Eukaryota, Metazoa, Chordata, Mammalia, Perissodactyla, Equidae.
GGGAAACAUUUACAUUUCUAAGGGAAACCUCUAUCUGUGAAGAUGCCUCCCUCUCUGUGCCAGGAAGGGGGGGGGAUGGUCUUAUCUCUAGAGGCUCUUGGUCAAUGCCAGAGGCAAGAACUUAAAUUGGUUACUGUCUGGCAACCUCAUGUAACUGACCCUCCCCCCCACAAAUCCUCCUUUGUCUUUAGCCGAGGAUAAAAUUCAAGCAGUGACUUCUGCCAUUUACUCAAUCCGGUUUGAUUCUUAUCUACCAUUUUAACUUUUUUACAUAUUCUUUGUCUUGUAAAGAGAUAACUCACAUACCUAUGCCUUAAAUUUAGCUCUAACCCUCAACUCGGGGCAGCAACAGGAGCUCUGACUGCCCGUGGGUCCUGUCCCCACGCACCAGCUCUGCCUGCCCAUGGGUCCUGUCCCCAUGCCAGCGGGGGCAGCAGAAGCGGCGGCAGCAGAAGCUCUGACUGCCCAUGGGUCCUGUCCCCAUGCUAUUCCACACUAUUCUCUAAAUAAAAGAGCACUACUGCCAGAUCUUGAGAGUCUAAGAAAUCUUUCUUUCGACUCCUCGGCUCACCGACCCCGCAUCAUUAUUCUAUGGAUAAAUAAACUUUUAAAAAUAUUAGGUGGUCAACUGAAAAAAUUCAUGGAGGAUACAUAGUUUCUCAAAUUUCUUUUAAGGGUACACAAGCAAAAACAUUUGGAGACAACUGAUCUAGACAGAUAAAUAUGGAAGACUAUUUAAGUCAAUCAUGCAAGUCCUUUACAGGAGCUGGCCAUCUAUUUUUAACUGUCCUAUUGGCAGAUUUCAGCAGACAGCUGUAUCAAGGGGAUGGAGGCUGCCUGAGAGUGCGGAAGAACACUGUUGGCCCGCUUAUUCUCAGUUGUGAAAACUUCUUUUCAAACUCUAAUAUUUAAACAAUGUAUUUGAGAUGAACGUGUUAGUCUGGGGUGGAAAUAGCUCCCAUUAGUGCUAUAGAACAGAGCAGGGGGAUCUACAGGACUAUCUUGGCAGCAGUUCUGGUUCAUUUCCCUCAAGGCCCCCCUUUUAUUUGUCCUGGCAUGCUUGUGAACUUCAGUACUUAGGAACAAGUGGGAGUGAGGGUGGGAUUGAUCCAGGCCAUCUUGAUGCUGUCCUGUUGACAAGUCCUUGCUGGAGGUGCCUGUCCUCAGUUCAGAAUUUUCCCCGAUGUGACUGGGGCUAAGUCGCUGCUCCAGGGCUUCCCCGGGGCUGGAACACCAGCAGUAGCUGAUUUUUGAGGAUAGGCAACCUCACGUCCCUUGUGUUAUUCUUGGAGAAAAAGGGUCUAUUCAAACUGAUCAUAACUCCAGAGUGAUUGCUCUUUUUAGUUCUUCCCCCAACCACUUUCCUGGGGUUUGAAUCUAUCAGAUCUAUCCAGGAGAGCAGGUUCAGUUUAGAUUUUGGAGUCUGCCACUUCAUGGACUUUCUCUCGGAGUAAGCCUGGGCCCCUAAUAUCAGACUUCAGUAACUAAUCUUUGAAAUACAUGCAGUGACCUCCCCUGCGUGCAUAUUUGCCCCAAGUUGGGCUGGAUUAGGGCAGAUCCCAUCAUACACUGCCUCAUGGACUCAAAAAUCACUGUGUUUCCUCCAGUGGCUCAGUUCUGGGGCUCAGUGCUGGAUAUUGAUCCUCCCCUUAUGCUUUCGUGAUAACCUUAGUUCAUAAAACUCACUGAGUUUCUGUGUGACUAGCCUGAAUCUGUACAAUCCAGGCUCCCUGACUCCAAAUCUCAGAGAAAAGGCAGUGGGAUAUUGUUUUCAUCCCUUGCAGAGGGUCUCAAGUUUCCUUAAGCAAAAUUUCCCUCCCUAUGGCUGUACUAAAUAAGAGGAGAGGCUCACUUUGCUAAGAGGAUAAUGAAUUCCCAUGUACCAGAGCUGAGGGUAUAUUGGCCUCAUAGAUACAUAACUAAAGGGGCUGUUCAACUGACUUCGCAGAGCCAAAAAGACCCCACAAAAACACCAAAAAAACAUUCCAAGAUUAUCUUCUAUUUCCUCUUGUUCUGUGAGCAUAGGGCAGCCAAAAUAAUAGUGCUAGUCAUGAUAAAACUAAGCUAUGGCAGGGCACUCCCUUAUCCAGAUGAAACCAGCACCCCUCUGAAGUUGGAGUGGAAGGCUUGAGUUUACCUGUUUGGUCUCUUUCUUUUCUCAAUCCAGCCCACCGCCGGGUCAUAUCCAACAGAUGGCAAAUUUCUUUUUGAAAAUCUUGUAGAGUCAGUUUCAAACAUCUAAUGUAUUUCUCCCCCAAAAUACACUGCAUCAUAUUCAGCAAAUUUAUCCUUAAAUAAUCCCAGGGCCUCCUCUGUCACCAUUUUGUUCCCAGAGAACUCCCUCCUGGAACUUUCUUUCCUCUGCUCCGCUCGGGGCUGAUCACUCUCUAGGCUGCCCCACGGUGGCCCUGGGGACUUCACCUGGCUGGUCUCCUGGGUUAAAUUCAGGAUCCCAGGUGUAACAGGAUGUGAAGUGAGAUUUUUCCUCAUAUCCCAGAAUUACAGAUAGAGCACAGAUGUGAAGACCAGAGGCACUUAGUUCUCCAUAUUCUGAAGAGAGCUACCAGCGAAACCUCACACCUGCCUUCCAGGGCUUGAAGGAAGGCUGGGCAAGUGGAAUUUUGUCAGAGAGUUUAAUGGAAAAGAUUGGUAAGCCUGCUAGAAGGGGGAGAGGGGCAUCUUGUUUCUCACGUGGAUGCUUGAUGAGCUGCAGAACCUGUAGGUCUACCCUGGAACUGUGGUGAUGAAAAGUUUUGGGCGUCUGGCUUGUGUCCCCUGGAGAUUAGGGCAAACAUGAAUAUAGAGACUGGUGCCUAUUUCUAGUCUAGAAAUUUCUGAGAGAGUCCCUCUGCAUUAGGCCAGGCUUAUGGGGCUUGAAAAGACUCUGGCACAGUAUACCUAAAGGAAGAAGGAGACAAUUCCUUAUCAUAUCCGGUUGAAGAGGACACAGAAGUUGUUGAAGCUCCUCAGAAAGAAGCAUGGAAGAUGGAUGAAGAGCAGGAGCCCAGGACUUUUCUGGUGGCCGCUGAGCCAACCGAUGGAGUUCCCAACCAGGAGGAGCUGUUGUGAGCGGAAGACUGCCUUUAUCUGAGGUGGUUCUGUUCUGAGAAGCAUACCCUGUCUUCUCCCUGGGGACCAUUCAUUGUGGUGGCCAUGUGAUUCCUUUUUUUCCUCAUGAGACAUUGAUAUGCAUGAGUGGGGCUUGUGAAUUAAUGGCCUCUACAUCAGAGUGUCUGGAUUCAAGGAGAGGCUAUUUAAACCUUCUUGGCCUCUGAUCUUCAUCUAUAAAUUGGGUAUGAUAAAAAUUACCUCCCUUACAGACUUGUUAUUAGGAUUAAAUGGAAUAAUAUAUUGGCACUUGUUGAGGCAGUCCAUAGAGAUCUGCCACUUGGGGAAUAGAGCAAAGUGGAGAAUGGAGCUGAAGGGGCAAGUGGAAAAUGUCCAGCCCAGUACUCAAUAAAUGUUCACUCAUUCAAUAGUUCAAUAAAUAUUUACUGAUUACCUAAUAUAUGCUAAGCCAUUAUUUUAGGCAAGGAGAUAUAUCUUAUGGAGUUUACAUUCUAGUGAGUGGCUCUUAAAUUCUAAUGGGUGAAUAUAGAAAAGUGAUAAUAAAUAUCAUAAAUAAGUCAAUUAUAUAACGAGUUAAGUAAUAAGUGAAUAAUAUAAAGGGCAUUGAGGGUGCCAAUGGAUAGUAAGGGUGGCUUGCAACUUAAAUGGGAAAGUUGGGUAGGCCUGUUGAGAAGGUGACAUUACAGCAAAGACUUGACAGAGGUACAACAGUGACCUAUGUUUACAUCUUGGGGAGGAGUGUACCAGGAAAUGGAAUUGGUCAGUACAAAGCCCUAAGGCAGGACCAUGCCAGAGGAGUUUGAGGAGCCAAUGUGUCUGGAGCAGAACAGGAGAGAAAGUCAGAGAGGGAACAAGAGGCUUGAUUGUGUAGAGUUUUGUAGACAAUUGGAAGGACUUAGCUUUUACUCUGAGUGAAACAGGGCACCACUGGGGGCUUUGGAACAGAGGAGUGACCUGAUCUGACUUGCAUUUUAACAUUGUCAUUGUGGCUACUUUGUUGACAGUAGUCCUAGGGGGGCAAAGGUAUAAGAGACUAGUUAGGGCCCUGUCACAAGAAUCCAGCUGAGAUGGUAACAGUGGAGGUGGUAAGAAGGGGUCAAGUUCUGGUUAUAUUUUGUAAGGAGAGCCAAUAAUGGAUUGGAUGUGAGAAAGAGAGAGGAGUCAAUCCUGACUUCAAAUUUUUAGACUGAGAAAUUGACACUAUGGAGUUGCCAUUAAAAGAGGUGAGGAAAAUUAUAGAUGGAGUAAGUUUGGAGAGGAAGAUCAGGAGUUUAGUUUUGGACAUAUGAAAUUUGAGAUAUUUAUUAGAAAUCUAAGUGGGGAUAUCAAAAGGCAGUUGGAUGUAGGAAUCUGGUGUUCAGUGAGGCAAUCUGAGGCACUAAUAUGAACUUGGGAGUCCUGAUAUUAUAAAUGGGAUUAAAACCCAUGAGACUGGGUGAUAGCCCCACUAUAAUGCAUAUAGAAAAGAGAAAAGGGGCCAACCCGGUGGCAUAGUGGUUAAGUUUGCGUGCUCCACUUCAGAGACCUGGGGUUCGUGGGUUCAGAUCCUGGACAUGGACCUACACUCUGCUCAUCAAGCCAUGCUGUGGCAGCAUCCCACAUGCAAAAAAUAGAGGAAGAUUGGCACAGAUGUUAGUUCGGGGGACAAUCUUCCUCAAGCAAAUAGAGGAAGAUUGGCAACAGAUGUUGGUUGAGGGUCACUGUUCCUUGCCAAAAAAAAAAAAGAGAGAGAAGAGUUUCAAAAUGUCAGCCCUGAGGCAUGCCAACAUUAAGGGGUUGGGGGAAAAAAACGAAAGAAAAGGAAACUGAGAUGAAGCAAUCAGUUUGGAGUUUGGAGGAAAAACAAGAGAGCGUGGUAUGCUGGAUGACAAUUGAAGGAAGGAUUUCCAGGGGGAAGAGAGCUAUCAGUGAGGGAAUUGCUGCUGAUAUGCCCUGUAAGAGGAGGACUAAGAAUUGAGGUUUAGUGGUGACCUAGUGAGAGCAGAUCUGGAGGACUGGUGGGGCUGAAACCCUGUGAGGUGGAGAAAGAGAGGAACUGAGACUGCUAGUAAGACAACUCUUUCAAGGAGUUUGCCCUAAAUGGGAACAGAGAAAUGAUGUGGUAGCUAGAGGAGGAAUGUGGGGUUACGACUCUCAUUUUUAUUUUUAAUAUGUGAGAAAAAAACAGCACUUUUAUUUUUCAGCAUAAACAGCAUGUCUAUUUACUAUCAGUAGGACUUGAGAUAAAGGUAAAAAUGGAUGGUGUAGGAGAGAAAAGGGGAAUGUAUCAGUCUGGGACCUGGCAAGAAGCACAUGGUACACACAAAUGGAGUAAUUUGAAGAGAAUUUUAAACAGGAUUAUUUAUUAUACAAAAUUAUGGUCAGGAUAUAAGGAAAACAUAGGGAUACUGCAAUACCUUGGAUGAGUUAUGGUUUGGCAUCAAUACCAUCUUUUGACAUGAAGAGGCAAGGGGAGGGGAAAGGGUACCAGAACCUAGAGAAUGAGACCUGUGUGCAGAGAGCUAUUUGUCCCAUUGAGCCAGCCCAUGGGGAGGGAGCUGGAACAAUAAAUGUCUUACCUUCACUUUCCUCUUUCCUACCAUCCCUGGUCCUUUCCUGGGACCACCAUCCUUCUCAUUAGCCAAAAUAAUCUGGAAGCCAGAGGACAGGGGAACCUGUUGAUUCAGGUCAGACUUCCUGGCAUAGAGCAGGGUAGGGGAAGGUGGAAAAUGGAUCUGGAGAGGCAAAUGGGAAAAAUUCUGCACAGGGAGAAUUGGUUGACUGACGACCUUGGGUGAGUGAGAGAAAAAGAACCUGGUGGACGGUGGAAGAAUUAGCCACAGAUAGGAACACCUCUAGUUCGUGCUCAGGACAGGAGAGAAGGCAGAGUGACAGGGCGCAAAUGCUGGUCAGGUAGGAUGAUGUGAUUCAGGUAGGAGGUUAGGGAUGCUUUUCUCUUCUGAUUCCUUCAAGUUUCUCAGGGAGGUAAGGAGCAAGGUCAUCAGAUUGAGCACGAGAUGUUUGUAUGUGUGGUAUUAAGGAAGCUGGGGUAUGCUUAUAAUUGUGCAUUGUUUGCUAGUUGGGGACUGCAACUAUACUUUUGCACUUCUGUCAUUUAUCUUUACUGCCCCGUGUCCUCAUAAACAUAUUCUCUUUUUUAGUCAGGUCUGUCUCCUCAUCACUCCAGUGCCCUCCAAGCUUACGUAUUCACAUUCUUUCAUCUGAAAUAAAGUACCCAUCCCUUUGUUUGUCAGUUUUCAACGUCUAAUGCCAAGCAUACUUCCUUCAUGAAACCCUCAUUAACUACUCCAUCCCGCACUAUCGUUUCUCUUCAAUUCACCCUACUUUAACUUGCAGUGAAUACCACACAAUUCUGGCUUUGUUUUCUAAUUGUUUCCUGUUAUUCUUGGUCUCUGAACUUGGUCGUAAGAUCAUCCAUAGCAAGAACAAUUUCUUUUUUGUCAUCCUCCCACAGUGAUGAGUGCAGACUUGUAAUAAGUGCUCAUUGAAUAGUUAUUACAUCCAGUAUCCAUUCAGAGCCUGCAGUGAAUCUGGGGUAACCAUGCUGGCAGUGAUUUUAAUAUAACUUUUUUUUUUUUUUUUUUAAGGAAGAUUAGUCCUGAGCUAAUAUCCGCUGCCAAUCCUCCUCUUUUUGCUGAGGAAGAUCGGCCCUGAGCUGACAUCUGUGUCCAUCUUCCUCUAUUUUAUAUGUGGGACACCUGCCUCAGCAUGGCUUGAUAAGUGUUGUGUAGAUCUGAACCUGGGAUCUGCCAAACCUGCGAAUCCUGGGCUGUUGAAUUGGAACAUGCGAACUUAACCUCUACGUCACCAGGCUGGCCCCUGAUAUUCCUUUUUUAGCUACAUAAUCCAAAGGAAAUUGUGAACAACACUUGGAAGGGGGAAAAAAAAAAUGUCUUUUCCAAUGGCUGUGAUAGCUGAAUUAUAAUUAUAGCUAAAUAUGAACCAGAUGCAUUUACUUGACACAUUACAGUUAUUGCAGGAAAAUAUUCUGAGUUUGUUAGCCUUUUGUAAACCAGAGAUUCUCAAUUCUGGUUGUAUUGGUUUUGUAUCUGGAUGUACCUGAAGCUAUUAGAAAUUGAUCAUCUGAGAGCCAAACAAACAGCAAGCUUGAGAGACAUUUGACUGAAUAUGGAUUCUUUCUGCUUCCCUCCUCCUUGCUAACUCUAAUGUAACUAGUCACCAAAUUCUGCUGGUUCUAGAUCUGAAAUGACUCUCAAUUGUCUGGGCAUCUCAAAUUUAACUUGCCCCAAACCAAAUCUUUAUAUUCUCCCUAACAUGCUACACUCUUUCCUCAUCCACCUAAACCUUGAAAUAAUUCUGGAUUCUAUUUUUCCCAUCUCCACACUGAAUCCAUCCAAUUCUGUCAGCUCUACCUUCAGAAGAUAUUGUAAUUCAGACCUCAUCACAUGUCCUGCUGUUUCCUACUCCAGGCCUCUAGAUAAAUAUGAAUCAUGGAUAUCAUCAACAUUAUAUGUAACAUUUAGAAUAUGUCUUGGAGUGAUCAUUUAAAACCAUGAAUUGUGUUUUUUCCUUUGCUCACAAACGUCCCCUGACUUUCCAUCACACCUAGAGUAAAAUCCACAGCCCUUACUGUGGCUUAGAAGACUCUAUAAAUCUGGGCCUACUUCUCCCUCUGACUUCAUGGCCCCCCACACUUUCCCCUUGUCAUUGCCUUCCAACCACACUGCCCAUCGUGCCAUUCCUUGAAAACCACAAGCAUGCUCUUGCUGCUUUCUCAUCUUGGAAUAAUCUUCUUCCCAUAUUUCUGCAUGGCUUACCUUCUCAGUUAACUCAGAUCUUUGCUCAAAUUAGUAACUCCUAAAUGAUUGCAUGUUACUGGGACUUGGAUGGGAAUAUAGCUGGGAGAGGAUAAUGUUAGAUUUUAUCAUCCCUCCAAGGCAAGCUAUUUAACCACUGUCCUUUCUAUAAAACCAAACACGACUGUUGAGGUUUGAUAAGGCACUUGCAACUUUCUACCUUUUUGGCCCAUCUGUUAACAGAAGGGAAUGUUCUGUUACCUAGAAAAAGAACCUAAAGAUAGGAGGCAUGUUCACUUCUGCAAAGCAAGCCACCCUUGUAGAAUAUCCCAAGAUUAAAGAAAUCCCAACAUUGCUGGGUAUCAGCCUCUCUGGGUGUGGAUUAUUAAGAAGAUAUAGGAUAAUCAGAAAGAAUCUUAUUAAGAUUUCUGAGUUUAUACAUAAACUCGGAUAAUAAAACUUCCCUGAUAAUAAAACUUCUUUGGAGCAUUCUAAUCUAUAGAGUUACCUCCUGUUUUAUUAAUGCCAGUUCGACCCACUCUUACUGGGUAAUAGAACUAUGAAUUUCUGUUCAGUAUGGGUGUGAAUACAUGCGUAUGUGUGUGUAAGCAUGUGUAUAUAACACUAAGCCUUUCUCCUUAGUGUCUCUCAUUUGUAGAAAUAAUAUUCCCCCUUUUAUUUGAUUCUUUUUUCCUCCUGGGACUUCCCCAGUGGCGUAAAUUCUGAACCAGAUUGGCUUUACACCAUCCCAAGUAAGACAUUGUUUUGGUUAACGUAGCUCUGAAAUCUUUGGCUGUUAGUACUUGAAGGGAGAAGUCUUCAUUAGUACCUAUUUCAGGGGGCCUCAUUCCCCCUCCCUAAUCCCCCUACUACUGUCCUAGGAGUUGUGGAGGAUUACAGUGAACUGUCUGAGUCCUCACUCUUCAGAAGGAAUGCUUUAGGGGUAGUGCUUUGAGGGUGGGUGGGUAGAAAGAUACUAGUUACCUCCCUCUCCUUUCAGUGAUCACUCAGAAAGGAAAAUGUGGGUUUCCACAGAGGAAGAUAAAUUUACCCUUCUGUGCUUGCAGUUGUGCGCAGUACUUGGAAUUUCCUGGCAUCUACUGCCACCACGUGGAUAUUUACAGUUACUGAAUUCAAACUUGAGUGUUUUCCUGUUAAGCCUGUUCCUAAGCCAAAACACAAAGAAUUGUAAGUUUGUUUUAGUGUCCUUCUGCCUCAGAUGGCUCCUAAGUCCCCUCUAGGUUACCUGUGUCCUCAAACUUACAAUGAGGUCCCAUUAUUAAAUAUGUUGGUCUUCCCUAUGCUGCAGUUUGUUAAAGCAGUACAAACGCUGUGCUGCUGGUACUGCAAUGACUUAGUUUUUGAUACAUCAGUUUGAAACAGACAGACUCUAAAAUGGUCUCAAUUAUCUCUGUUUCCUGAUAUUCAUGCCUUGUGUAGCCCCUUAACCUUGAGUGUGGGUGGGACCUGUGACUAGCUUCUAACCAAGAGAAUAUGGCAGAGGUGGUGGGCUGGCACUUCCCCAAUUACGUUACAUAAUGUCGUAACUUCCAGAUUGCUAGCAGACUCUCUUGAAUGUCUUCUGGGCUGGCAUGCAUGAAGCAAGCAGCUAUGGGGGUGAGGCAUGGUGAAAAGGAACUGAGGGCAGCUACUGCCUAUCAGCCGGCAAGAAACAGAUGCCCCCCAGGCCAACAGGACAUAGAUGAUUGAAUCCUGUUAACAGCUGUGUGAACUUGGGAGCAGAUCACUCUCCAGCUGAGCUUUCAGAUGAGACGCCAGCCCUGGCAAACACCUUGAUUGCAGCUUCACAAGAGACCCUGAAGCAGAGGACCCAAUUAAGCUGUGCCCAGAUUCUGUGAGAAUAAAUAAGUGUUGUUUUUAGCCACUAAAUCUGUGCUAAUUUGCUAUGCAGCAAUAGAUAAUUAACACACAGUUCUUUGGUUUUACUUACAUCACUCCCCUCUUCACAGGACUGCAAUAUAAGUCCUAGGAGACUGUUCUUGGAAAUAAAUAUAAUUGACAAGCACCACUCUGUGCUCAGAAUUGCCCCUCUGCUCUUGCCAAGUUCUGUCACUGAAUCAGCUUGUUGUGUCUGAUUCCUUUAGAAUAAGUUCUCUCUCAGGAGGUACCUCAGCUCCUCAUACAAGGAGAGCUCUGUGGGGCCUGCCCAUGUAGUUUCCCAAAUAAGCUUAGACAAGCUUAAAUCCAUUAAAUCCAGCAGUGGGCACAACUUAGCCUACAGCUGAGACCUCACACCUUGUCAGAUAAUUUAUUAACUUCCAGAUGUAUUACAUUAUUGCAGCUAUGGUUAUCAUGACUGAUAUUAAACUUUUUUCAUAGUUAAAAAAAUGCUUCAUGUUCCAUGAAACACUUAACUAAGAGUAUCAAAGCAGUGCUAAAAGGCAAGAGUGGGGACAAGGAGUGACUCCCCUCAUCACAGACCAUCCACUUUAUCCUAAAAUACAAGCAGGAAUAUUGUAUAACUACGCUAAAUUUGAUAUAUGUUAUUGGAAAGCCAGUUGUGCUAUGUCAAUGGCAUGCUUCUGAUAAACCAGUCUGAUGAAAGGAAGUUAACCUAUAGUAAUAAAGGAAGUUAGUCUGAUAAAGGAAGUUAGCCUAUAGUAAUAAGUUAUUUGUGAAUCUAACUUGCUCCUAAUGAUUGGCAUUUUUUUUUUUUUAAUGAUGAGCAUUUGCUUUUCUCAUAAAACAUCUUUUAGGUUAUCCAUUCUAGAGUUUUGUAGGGGGUUGUCAUCAAGCUCUGCAGUUUUUAGAAUUUAAUUUACACCUCUUUUUGAAAACCAGAACAGUAUUUAUUCAGCUCUGUUACAGAGGCUUAAAUACAUUUAAACUUGAAAAGUGCUGAGACAUUAACUUUUUGGCAUAAUUGAAGCAAGCUUGGCUCUGAAGCAUGCUCAAUUUUGACCAAAAAGGCAGUGGAGAAAGGGAGGAUGGUAUUUUCAUGCAGUUCUGUGCAGGCUUGAUCAGUCUAUAGAACUGAUCUGAUGAGUACGUUGCUGUUCAACGUAUGGUACACUCCAAUAUCCAACCCUAGACUAGACUAUUCAUGAACAUGAACUUGCCUAUGCUGCAUCUUCUGAUAUUUUAGUCUUCAUUCCCCACCCCUCAUCACCACUCCUGGUUUUGACAUCUCAACCCAAAACAAUCUCUGUUGGCUAAAGAAGUGUAAAAAACUUAGGCCAGAGGCAAUAUUUGAAUACAGAUGAGGUGCCAUGGGGAUUCCAAAAAAUCGUUUUGGUUGAGAACCCCAACCAAUGACUGAAGGUGUGAGAAAUAAGCUCCAGUAUUCCAGAGGAACUUAGGACAAAUUACAAAAAGGAUCGUGGUAGGUUUGCAAUGUUUCUGUAGAGUGUUUCCGUAGUAGAGAUGGAGACACAGGCCAUGGCCUGAUGCACAAACUGGGCCGAGAAAACAGGGUCAGAGGUGGGUGUUGGUGAAUUAUUUAUGGAAACACAUAUGCCUAGGGCACAUUGGAUAUGAAAACUGGACCCAGACCUUACCCACUAGUGAGGCUGAGCUCCCAAGAUAUUCCUGCUGUCUUUUAUUAGCCUCUUAGUAAGGUGGAACUUGGGUAAAUCCUUAAAGCACUAAGACAGAAGUAUGAAGCCAAAACUGGGGAGGAGCGGCAAAGGCUGACCUACCAGAAGAUCCAGCAUUUGCAAACUUAUGUUCAGGAGAAGUUGGGUUUAAGGUUGGAAAUUGAAGGAAGUCGACAGAUUAAUUAAUUAUUAAUUAGUCAAUUAAUUCAAGAACCUUUUUUUGUUUGCUAAGCAGAGGGGUUAUAAGGUCUAGUAAGAUACAGAUCUGGCCCACAAUGAUCUUAUAGUCUCAUGCGGAAAGUAGAUAAGCCUAAUAGGUCAACUGCGGGGUUGAUAAUGGAGCUGUGUUUUGAAGGACAGGAAGGGGGUGGUUAGAUGAAAAUGAGGAAGGAACACAGAGGAAGCAUUCGGUGGGACAGUCUGAAGACAUGAAGCCACCUAAACAUCUAGGACACUGCAAAGAGUUCUCAAUGGUGAAAACAAAGAAUGUGUGCAUGUAAGUGGCAGAUGAUGCUCGAGAGGUAAGCAGGAAUCAUAUUCUAAUGGGCUUUGAGUGGUAUGCUGUGGAGUUGGACUUGAUUGUAAAAACAGAAGAUUUUAAAUAUGAAAAAUAUUUUAAACAGGAAAAUAUUUUAAUCAGGGAAAUAAUGUGAUGAUUUGUACUUUAGAAAGAUACAUCCAGGGGCUGGCCCCGUGGCCGAGUGGUUAAGUUCAUGUGCUCUGCUUCAGUGGCCCAGGGUUUGACUGGUUCAGAUCCAGGGCACAGACUGGCUCCGCUCAUCAGGCCACGCUGAGGUGGCAUCCCGCAUGCCACAACUAGAAGGACCUGCAACUAAAAUAUACAACUGUGUCCCGAGGAGUUUUGGGGAGAAAGAGGAAAAAUAAAAUCUUAAAAAAAAAAAAAGAAAGAUACAUCCAAACCAGUGUCGUGGCUGGAUUAGAGGGGUGUAAGACUGGCGGCAGGGAGACCAGAUAAGAGGCGAGAAGAAAUGAGGGCCUGAACUAAGAGAGUGGCAGUGGGGUUAGAAAAACAUGGAAGAUUAUGAAGAAUAUUAUGCAGGUAGGAUAAUAUCGAUUUGAUGAUUGAUAAAAUGUGGAGGAUAAGUGAAAGGAGAAGGCUAUGAUGAGCACCAAGUUUCUACCUUGGAGAAUGGGUGGUUGGGGAAACAGAUUUGAGAAUGGAAGUCUGAGGAACACUAAUGUUGAAGCCUUAAGCUUUAAGGGGUUGAUCAGAACUGCAUGUAGGAGGCUGAGUACAGCAUGUCAGAGCCAUCAGAGGAAAACUGGGAGAAGGUGGAGUCACAGAAGCUAAGAAAGUAAGUAUCAAGAAACGUGGAGUGACCAACAGGAACUAAUACCACAAAGAAAUCAAGUAGAUGAGAGAAAAUUAUCUUUUGAGGUGGAGAAGACUUAUAUUUUAAUUGAGGUGCACAUGUGUGUGUAUGUGUGUGUGUAAGGGAGACAACCAAUGAACAGACAAACAAGAAAAAAUACCAAAUAAGUUCACAUCGUGGUAAUUCUCAUGAACAGGUCAUUCAUUCCACACACCUUUUGAGGCCUUGCCCUCUAACCCUAAGGACAUAUUUUCACCAGGCUUGUUAAGGCAGCUCUGUUUGAGUCUGGCAUUUGAUACCUGCUCUGUUGAGACUGAUUAUAAACUUGGGAGAACCAAGGCUUCAGGUGAAGGGCUUCAGUGGCUGGAAGUCAGUGGGGCCCAGAAUGCAGAGGCUACCUUUCUGCAUCUCUCCCGUUCCUUGUAUUCUCCCCUGAUCAUGUUUGUUUUAGUCUUUCUGCUUUCAAGAUUAUUCUCCUUGACAGAGAAGUAAAAUAGGAUCGGAUAGUUCUAUUUUCCACUGCCAUCUUUUAAUUUGCCAUUAGCCUCUUUCAGUCAGAUUAUAUCUUCCUCAUUUUUGUUCUUUAAGGCUUUCUUAACAGUCAGGCCCUUAUUAAUCUUCUUAGUAUAUUAAAAUACUUCUGUUCAUUCUGGACUUUAGUCUCUCUGUCAUAAAUCUUUUGCUUUGGUGCCAUUCCUUUGUAGUCAUCUGUUUCAAAUUUGAUCUCAUUGGAGAGCUCCCUCAGUAGUCAAAUUACGUUGUUUGAAUGCAGUAUUAGCUGGGGGGCAGACAAGCCUGCUGCACCAUAAAACCCAAAAUAUGAGAGAGAAUUCUAUUUCUCUUCACACAAUAGUAGGCAAGCCAAUCAAGGCCUCUUGUUGGUUUUACUCCCCAAGAUCAUCCAGUGGCCCAGUUUCUUCUGUCACCUCCAUUCACAUUCCACUGGAGAGAAUUUAGUCAUGUCAUCUAGAUGCAAGGGAUGAUGGUAAGUGCGUUUUUAAAAAAAUUUGAGUUCAUUAUAGUUUACAUCAUUGUGAAAUUUCAUUUGUACAUUAUUUCUUGACUGUCACCACAUAGGUGCUCCCCUUCACCCCUGUGCCCACCCCUCAACCCCCUUCCCCUGGUAACCACUGAACUGUUUUCUUUGUCCAUGUGCUUGUUCAUAUUCCACAUAUGAGUGAAAUCAUCUAGUGUUUGUCUUUCUCAGUCUGACUUAUUUCACUAGUCACAAUUCCCUCCAAGUCUUUCCAUGUUGUUGUAAAUGGGAUGAAUUUGGUUUUAUUUCUGGCUGAGUAGUAUUCCAUUGUAUAUAUAUCUAUAUAUAUAUGCCACAUCUUCUUUAUCCAAUCAUCAGUUGAUGGGCACUUGGGUUGUUUCCAUGUCUUGGCUAUUGUGAAUAGUGCAGCAAUGAACAUAAGGGUCCAUAUAUUACUUUGGAUUGUUGAUUUCUAGUUGUUUGGGUAGAUACUCAGUAGUGGGCUAGCUGGGUCAUAUGGCAGUUCCAUUUUUAGUUUUUUGAGGAAUCUCCAUACUGUUUUCCAUAGUGGCCGUACUAGUUUGCAUUCCCACCAGUGGUGUAUGAGUGUUCCUGGGAUGUGUAUUUUUUUGAUGAGUGGUCAUGUGUCCUGCUGAAAACGGGAAAAGGACCUAUUACUGAAAGGAAGACGGGAAGAAUGAGCACUGAGGAAAAAUCAGUGAUGAUGUGCCACAAAUGCUUCCUCCUCUUCUUCACUGAGAUACAUUUGACUAUGUCAUCAGAAUUUGGCAUUUGGGAGCCUCUCAACUUCUAUUUGUAAAUCACCUACUAUGUGCCAGGCACCAUGGUUGAAACUGAGGCUGCAACAAUGAACGCAAUAAUAAAACACUAAGAGAAGAAGCUGUAGCUCCUGUACCCCAAGGCAGCUCCGAGUCCUGGUGGCCUCCUGCCACUCUACCCAUCCAUCUGAGGGUCCGGCUGAUGGCCUUCAGCUCCCAGCAUUGGAAGAGUAGAAAUUCUUGGUCCACAUUGGCAAUGGCAGCAGCUCUUUUAAGCCUGGCUGUCUCCAGGACACUGCUGCACCUUGGGGCUUACUCAUUCCCUGUUUACAUUCUUCAACCUGGCCUAGUGGCUCCACUUAAAAUUUCUCUAGUCUACUUUGCGCCUUCAGUGAUACUCAAAGUUCAGCUGAAGCUACAUGUUUAGAUCUAUUGAUUAGCUGUUUGAUGUUUGGGAGCAGGAUGGCUAGGCUGAUUCUCCAACAGGUCACCCACUCUAAAUCAAAACUGGUUUGAUGAUAAGUCCUGUCCUCUCACACAGAGGUAUAAGAUAAUAGAAAAUAUGUAUAUUGGUCUCUGCCCCCAGUUCCUGAUACAGAGCUCCUAAAACCUUUGUAAUUUCCUAAGUGAUAAGAGUACUAGGAGCAUCUUAUGUCCUAAUAUUUGAUCUUUGACCCUGGUUCCUGUCACUGAGCCCGUAAAUCUCUUGGAAUUUCCUGGGUGAUAGGAGUAUCUUUUGUUCUAACAAGGUGGCUCUUGGUGGACUCUUGGAUAGGGGCUUGUUUAUCAGAAAAGCAAGCCAUGAUUAGAAGCUUGGAACUUUCAGUUCCACCCCUCAUUGCCUGGAGAGGGGUUGGAAAUUGAAUUAAUGAUGCAUCACGCCUACGGGAUGAAACCUCCAUAAACAUCCCCUGAGGGUGGGGUUUGGGGAGCUUCUGUGUUGAUGAACAUGUGGAAGUGCUGGGAGAGUAGUGGGUUCAGAGACCAUGGAAGCUCUGCAUCCUUUCCCACAUAACCUUGGCCCUAUUCAUCUCCUCUAUCUGGCUGUUCCUCAGUUAUAUCCUUUUAUAACAAACUGGUAAUCUAAUAGGUAAACUGUUUUCAUUAGUUCUGUGAGCCAUUCUAGCAAAUUAAUUGAACUUGAAGAGGGGGUUGUGGGAACCUCUGUUUUAUAGCCAGUUGGUCAGAAGCACAGGUAACAAUUUGGACUUGUGAUUGGCAUCUAAAAUGUGCGGGGGUAAUGGGAGCAGUCUUGUAGGACUGAACCCUAAUUUCUGGGAUCUGGCCCUAUGUCUCGGUAGAUAGUGUCAAAAUUGAGUUAAAUGAUAGGACCCCCAGCUGGUGUCACAGAGAAUUGCUUGGUGUGGGGGAACCUCCCACACAUCUGGUGUCAGAAGUGUUGUGAGUGUGGUAGUAGUGUGAGAGUAAAGGAGAGACACUCAGGAGGAAAAGCAGAGUUUUCCUUACAGAGGCCUUGUUAAACUUUCCAUUGCCACAUUCUUAAGUUGAGAAAGGCAGCUAAAUCACCUGCCAUUUGAGUAAACCUACAAUAAGAACAAGAAGAAUUAAAAUAAUAUUAAAAAACCUUACUCCUGAGGAAACAGAUAAUUCAGAGAACAGAAACUAUGUAAAAACAAAAUAAAACCCUUCAAAACUCAGAAAAAUUUAGGAAACUACUGAAUCUAUAAAACAAAAAUAAUAAGAACUCUGAGUACACAAUGUAUUUUAAAAAAAGGAAAACAAUUAAAGUCUUCAGAAAAAAACUGUACAAGAAACUCACAGUCUAAAUGAAUCUAAUCUAAAACAGGAAAUCCGUAGAAUUAAGGAAAAAUGGAAUGGAAUCUACUCAACAGAUGCAAUGAAUAAGAAACUGGAUAAUAUUAAAGAUGCUGGGUGGAAUGCAUAUAUUUUUUCAUCCUACAAGCAAAUAAAAGAUUAUAUGAAAUGGCGAGGCAAAAUAAACAAACACUAACAAACAAUUUUCAGUAUAGAAAAGGCAUGUUCUAAAUAUAAGGCAACUCAAAUAUGACCUGAUUUUGAGCAAUUUGUGGCAACGUAAGAAAAGAGAGUCCAUUUUGCGCAUUGUCAUGUUGAGUGGCACUUGGAUCAAGACUUUGGAGACAUAGAUUAGGAAUUCCACCUUGACUCUUCAGUGAAAAAUAUUAAAAAGACUAAUAAUCAAAAAUAAAUGCUCUUUAUAGUUUUUAACUUGGAAAUCAACUUGCAGGCAAAACACGGAAGACCUAAUUAUGGUUACAGAAUAGAACAUAAAUGUUAUCCACUUUGACCACGUGGAAGUUAUUGACAGAAGACGGGAGGGGAUGAGGAAGGGAAAAUAAAUGGAAUGUUAGAGGUCCUAUUCUCAUCUUAUGUAGGAGAAAUUCAAAGGAUACUAUCUAUAUUUGAGACAAUUAGAUAGGAGUUUGGGUAUUAUAUGAAGUCACAAAAGUAACCAGUAGAGGAGCUAAAAAUAGUGAUAUGACUGUAUAGAG